AUUGAACGCUGGCGGCAGGCCUAACACAUGCAAGUCGAGCGGAUGAAGGGAGCUUGCUCCAGGAUUCAGCGGCGGACGGGUGAGUAAUGCCUAGGAAUCUGCCUGGUAGUGGGGGAUAACGUCCGGAAACGGGCGCUAAUACCGCAUACGUCCUGAGGGAGAAAGUGGGGGAUCUUCGGACCUCACGCUAUCAGAUGAGCCUAGGUCGGAUUAGCUAGUUGGUGGGGUAAAGGCCUACCAAGGCGACGAUCCGUAACUGGUCUGAGAGGAUGAUCAGUCACAAUGGAACUGAGACACGGUCCAGACUCCUACGGGAGGCAGCAGUGGGGAAUAUUGGACAAUGGGCGAAAGCCUGAUCCAGCCAUGCCGCGUGUGUGAAGAAGGUCUUCGGAUUGUAAAGCACUUUAAGUUGGGAGGAAGGGCAGUAAGUUAAUACCUUGCUGUUUUGACGUUACCAACAGAAUAAGCACCGGCUAACUUCGUG
Molecule: ribosomal RNA, 484 nt
Filed under: uncultured bacterium
Lineage: Bacteria
Description: partial 16S ribosomal RNA
Rfam family: Bacterial small subunit ribosomal RNA
Source: RNAcentral